AUGGGCACCAGAUUGCAGCGUGAGUGCAGAUUAGCAUUUAUUUUAAGUGCUAUUAUGCAGGCCUUUGAAGUAGUCCAUGAAGGAAAGGAAUAUGUUCUGCACUCUGUCAGCUUCCAGCAGAAGUACGAGGAAGAGAUGGGCGAUGCGAUGGAAAAGAUGAGUUCAGAGAAGGGAAAGGAACAACUGACCCCGUCCUUUACCACAUAA
This 207-nucleotide ribosomal RNA is filed under the name Triticum aestivum (bread wheat). RNAcentral describes it as "partial small subunit ribosomal RNA". The record is from RNAcentral. Lineage: Eukaryota; Viridiplantae; Streptophyta; Magnoliopsida; Poales; Poaceae.